Molecule: ribosomal RNA, 240 nt
Filed under: uncultured bacterium
Lineage: Bacteria
Description: partial 16S ribosomal RNA
Rfam family: Bacterial small subunit ribosomal RNA
Source: RNAcentral
UACAGGGGGGGCAAGCGUUGUUCGGAAUUACUGGGCGUAAAGGGCCAGUAGGCGGCCAACUAAGUCACACGUGAAAUCCCCGGGCUUAACCCGGGAACUGCGUGUGAUACUGGAUGGCUUGAAUUCGGGAGAGGGGUGCAGGAAUUCCAGGUGUAGCGGUGAAAUGCGUAGAUAUCUGGAGGAAUACCGGUGGCGAAGGCGGCAUCCUGGACCGACAUUGACGCUGAACGGCGAAAGCUA